RNAcentral lists this ribosomal RNA (734 nucleotides) under Methanobacteriota archaeon. RNAcentral's name for it is "bacterial SSU rRNA". It matches the Rfam family "Archaeal small subunit ribosomal RNA", at positions 1 to 773 of the family's 1478-position model. The record is from RNAcentral. Lineage: Archaea; Methanobacteriati; Methanobacteriota.
CAAAUCUGGUUGAUCCUGCCAGAGGCGACCGCUAUUGGAGUUCGAUUAAGCCAUGCGAGUCGAGAGUCUUAGGGACUCGGCAUACUGCUCAGAACCUCGGGAAACUGAGAAUAAUACUCCAUAGACCACAAUGCCUGGAACGGUUUGUGGUUCAAAGCUCCGGCGGUACAGGAUGGGUCUGCGGCGUAUCAGGUUGUAGGGGGUGUAAAGGACCUCCUAGCCAUUGACGCGUACGGGUUGUGGGAGCAAUAGCCCGGAGAUGGAUUCUGAGACACGAAUCCAGACCCUACGGGGUGCAGCAGGCGCGAAAACUUCACACUGCGGGAAACCGUGAUGAGGGAACUCCAAGUGUUAGCACAAUGUGCUAUCUUUUCUUGACUUUUAAUAGGUCUUGGAAUAAGGGGCGGGAAAGACCGGUGCCAGCCGCCGCGGUAAUACCGGCGCCUCAAGUGGUCGUCGCUUUUAUUGGGCCUAAAACGUCCGUAGCCUGUUUGGUAAACCCGUGGGUAAAUCAACGAGCUUAACUCAUUGACUUCUGCGGAGACUGCCAGACUAGGGACCGGGAGAGGUGUAGGGUACUCAUGGGGUAGGGGUAAAAUCCUGUCAUCCCAUGAGGACCACCUGUUGCGAAGGCGCUACACUGGAACGGAUCCGACGGUCAGGGACGAAGCCUAGGGGCACGAACCGGAUUAGAUACCCGGGUAGUCCUAGGUGUAAACGCUGUGGACUUGGUG